This 434-nucleotide ribosomal RNA is filed under the name uncultured Sphingobacteriales bacterium. RNAcentral's name for it is "bacterial SSU rRNA". It matches the Rfam family "Bacterial small subunit ribosomal RNA", at positions 952 to 1382 of the family's 1533-position model. The record is from RNAcentral. Lineage: Bacteria; Pseudomonadati; Bacteroidota; Sphingobacteriia; Sphingobacteriales.
CGACGAUACGCGAAGAACCUUACCCGGGUUUGACAUUGUAUCGAAGCAUCCAGAGAUGGAUGUGUCUCUUCGGAGACGGUAUGACAGGUGCUGCAUGGCUGUCGUCAGCUCGUGCCGUGAGGUGUUGGGUUAAGUCCCAUAACGAGCGCAACCCUUACCGUUAGUUACCAUCAGGUUAAGCUGGGGACUCUAGCGGGACUGCCACCGUAAGGUGAGAGGAAGGUGGGGAUGACGUCAAAUCAGCACGGCCCUUAUGUCCAGGGCGUACACACGUGUUACAAUGGCCGGUACAAAGGGCAGCUACUUCGCGAGAAGGAUGCUAAUCUCGAAAGCCGGUCUCAGUUCGGAUCGAAGUCUGCAACCCGACUUCGUGAAGCUGGAUUCGCUAGUAAUCGCGCAUCAGCCAUGGCGCGGUGAAUACGUUCCCGGGCCUU